GUCCUAUUGGGCCUCUUUCUUGGGCUUGCAGCCAGCAUGGCGGUGGUGUACUCUGAGAACUUCAGACUAGAUAGGCUUUCAGAUCCCUGCUAGCUUUAAAGCUAUGACCCAAGAUCCUAUGAUCCAUACAGAGAAUGCCACAGCUGAAGAGAAAUCACAGAACCAGACCUUCAUGGCUCCCAAGAAUAACCCAUCCUUGAAAUGAGUCUCCACUAAAAGAUAAGGAAACAAAAGUUUGCAGCUUAUUCCAUUGUUGGACAUCUCUGCUGGAAAGGAGGUUCUUUCACAACUGGCUCCCAUGUGACUUCUCCUUGCUGCUAGUUCCACCCUUGGGACUCCAGGAGAAACAUCAAUCCUCAAGCAUCCAUUAAAGGAAUACCAUGUGUUGAGCACUACACUGGGUGCUCAGAAUACAAAGAGUGAAACAAUCCCAGCUUUCAAGGAAGUUCCAUUCCCUUUUUGCACACAGUCCUUGAAAUAUUGGAGGUCAAUCUUUCCACAAGAUCCUUUACUAGUUUGAGUUCAAGUACCCCCCCCAGCUCUAAGCUCACAAGUCGCUGGGCUCCUUAUUACAUGGUAUUUCCAUUACACAACAACCAUGAGGCGAGUCCCAGACCAAGAUCAUUUGGUGAAAAUCUUUGAGAGUUCAAAUAGUCUCAGUAAAGUUCAUUUGUUGGAUGACUUCAAGUGUGGGUUGAGAAGAAAGAAAAGUAUCUAUUUUCUGUGACCAGAAUAAAUCAUUCUUUGGUCAUUCAUUUUAGUUCUUGCUCUAAAUGUGAAUCCCCCACCCUCACGCCAAAACAUCCUUAGCAAAUUUUUCAUCACAGAAGUAAGUCUUGCAGUGUUUUUUUUUCUUUCAUGAGGCUAUACAUUCAAGAUACAGUGAAUGAAAGAUUAGAUGGGACUAAACAAUUAAUGGACAGGAUAGGGGUAGUGAGGAAAAAGGAGUCAAGGAUGAUGCAUAUCACAUGGCUAGAUGACCAUGAGGAAGUUGAUGCACUCAGAAGAAAAGGAAAUUAAGAGUAGGAAACAUUCUCUCACCAAGUGUUCUCUACUUCAAUCCAGCUUCAGAACAUCUUAUAUUGAUUCCAUCCUCCAUGUUGCCACUGUUACCAUCUUAGUAGAGGGUCCCACCCCUAUCCCUUCUUCAAUAAAUCAUUCAUCUUCUGCUUCUAUCCAUUCAUUUCUUUCCUGGUUGGCUUCUUUGAUUGUCAGAUCCAGAUUAUAUGGACAUAACCAGGGAGAAAGA
Molecule: non-coding RNA, 1249 nt
Organism: Monodelphis domestica (gray short-tailed opossum)
Lineage: Eukaryota; Metazoa; Chordata; Mammalia; Didelphimorphia; Didelphidae
Source: RefSeq, a predicted model, not a curated record